RNAcentral lists this ribosomal RNA (230 nucleotides) under uncultured microorganism. RNAcentral's name for it is "partial 16S ribosomal RNA". It matches the Rfam family "Bacterial small subunit ribosomal RNA", at positions 524 to 752 of the family's 1533-position model. The record is from RNAcentral.
UACGGAGGGGGCAAGCGUUGUUCGGAUUUAUUGGGCGUAAAGCGCGUGUAGGCGGUACGGUAAGUCGGAUGUUAAAGACCCACGGCUCACCCGGGGGAGUGCGUUCGAUACUGCCGUGCUAGAGUGCAGGAGAGGAAAGUGGAAUUCCUGGUGUAGCGGUGAAAUGCGUAGAUAUCAGGAGGAACACCGGUGGCGAAGGCGGCUUUCUGGCCUGUAACUGACGCUGAGAC